Molecule: ribosomal RNA, 692 nt
Filed under: Bacillus zhangzhouensis
Lineage: Bacteria; Bacillati; Bacillota; Bacilli; Caryophanales; Bacillaceae
Description: bacterial SSU rRNA
Rfam family: Bacterial small subunit ribosomal RNA
Source: RNAcentral
AAGGGAGCUUGCUCCCGGAUGUUAGCGGCGGACGGGUGAGUAACACGUGGGUAACCUGCCUGUAAGACUGGGAUAACUCCGGGAAACCGGAGCUAAUACCGGAUAGUUCCUUGAACCGCAUGGUUCAAGGAUGAAAGACGGUUUCGGCUGUCACUUACAGAUGGACCCGCGGCGCAUUAGCUAGUUGGUGGGGUAAUGGCUCACCAAGGCGACGAUGCGUAGCCGACCUGAGAGGGUGAUCGGCCACACUGGGACUGAGACACGGCCCAGACUCCUACGGGAGGCAGCAGUAGGGAAUCUUCCGCAAUGGACGAAAGUCUGACGGAGCAACGCCGCGUGAGUGAUGAAGGUUUUCGGAUCGUAAAGCUCUGUUGUUAGGGAAGAACAAGUGCGAGAGUAACUGCUCGCACCUUGACGGUACCUAACCAGAAAGCCACGGCUAACUACGUGCCAGCAGCCGCGGUAAUACGUAGGUGGCAAGCGUUGUCCGGAAUUAUUGGGCGUAAAGGGCUCGCAGGCGGUUUCUUAAGUCUGAUGUGAAAGCCCCCGGCUCAACCGGGGAGGGUCAUUGGAAACUGGGAAACUUGAGUGCAGAAGAGGAGAGUGGAAUUCCACGUGUAGCGGUGAAAUGCGUAGAGAUGUGGAGGAACACCAGUGGCGAAGGCGACUCUCUGGUCUGUAACUGACGCUGA